UACGUAGGGGGCGAACGUUGUCCGGAUUUAUUGGGCGUAAAGAGCUCGUAGGCGGUUUGUCGCGUCUGCCGUGAAAGUCCGGGGCUCAACUCCGGAUCUGCGGUGGGUACGGGCAGACUAGAGUGAUGUAGGGGAGACUGGAAUUCCUGGUGUAGCGGUGGAAUGCGAAGAUAUCAGGAGGAACACCGAUGGCGAAGGCAGGUCACUGGGCCGCAACUGACGCUGAGGAGCGAAAGCAUGGGGAGCGAACAGG
This 253-nucleotide ribosomal RNA is filed under the name uncultured bacterium. RNAcentral's name for it is "partial 16S ribosomal RNA". It matches the Rfam family "Bacterial small subunit ribosomal RNA", at positions 524 to 776 of the family's 1533-position model. The record is from RNAcentral.